GGGGAGGUAGCGAAGCGGUCAAACGCAUCAGACUGUAAAUCUGACGGCCCACGGCCUUCGAAGGUUCGAAUCCUUCCCUCCCCACCA
RNAcentral lists this transfer RNA (87 nucleotides) under Acidobacteria bacterium RBG_16_70_10. RNAcentral's name for it is "tRNA-Tyr". It matches the Rfam family "tRNA". From Rfam's summary of the family: Transfer RNA (tRNA) molecules are approximately 80 nucleotides in length. Their secondary structure includes four short double-helical elements and three loops (D, anti-codon, and T loops). Further hydrogen bonds mediate the characteristic L-shaped molecular structure. tRNAs have two regions of fundamental functional importance: the anti-codon, which is responsible for specific mRNA codon recognition, and the 3' end, to which the tRNAs corresponding amino acid is attached (by aminoacyl-tRNA synthetases). tRNAs cope with the degeneracy of the genetic code in two manners: having more than one tRNA (with a specific anti-codon) for a particular amino acid; and 'wobble' base-pairing, i.e. permitting non-standard base-pairing at the 3rd anti-codon position. Lineage: Bacteria; Pseudomonadati; Acidobacteriota. RNAcentral also lists the same sequence under 3 other names. The record is from RNAcentral.